UAGGGAAUCUUCCACAAUGGACGCAAGUCUGAUGGAGCAACGCCGCGUGAGUGAAGAAGGUUUUCGGACCGUAAAGCUCUGUUGUUGGUGAAGAAGGAUAGAGGUAGUAACUGGCCUUUAUUUGACGGUAAUCAACCAGAAAGUCACGGCUAACUACGUGCCAGCAGCCGCGGUAAUACGUAGGUGGCAAGCGUUGUCCGGAUUUAUUGGGCGUAAAGCGAGCGCAGGCGGAAGAAUAAGUCUGAUGUGAAAGCCCUCGGCUUAACCGAGGAAUUGCAUCGGAAACUGUUUUCUUGAGUGCAGAAGAGGAGAGU
This 314-nucleotide ribosomal RNA is filed under the name uncultured bacterium. RNAcentral's name for it is "partial 16S ribosomal RNA". It matches the Rfam family "Bacterial small subunit ribosomal RNA", at positions 355 to 662 of the family's 1533-position model. The record is from RNAcentral.